This 622-nucleotide long non-coding RNA is filed under the name Mus caroli (Ryukyu mouse). Its description in RNAcentral is "predicted gene 15749 (MGP_CAROLIEiJ_G0006187.1)". Lineage: Eukaryota; Metazoa; Chordata; Mammalia; Rodentia; Muridae. The record is from RNAcentral.
CGAGAAGGAAGGUAGCUCUGCCAGCGUCUACCCUGGGACAAGCCUUCUGUUCACAUGAUCCCAUUUAAAACUUGCAAAGGCACAAAGCAUCUUGGGAACGGAGGAAAAAGGAAGAAGAGCUUUGCGUGGGGUGUGGAAGGGCCUCCUAAAAGCCUUGCCAGGAGACGUGACAUUUAAGGCACACCUUGAAGAAGAAGAAGAAGAACAACAACAACAACAAAAAAUACUGUAUGCUCUGUGCUUGAUUAGAUGAGAAAACUAAACCGAGGCACAGAGAGGUUAAGUGACUGACUCAUCUAAGACCAGGCAUUACUACAUCUACCAAAUGGCAGCAGAGUCAGAACUCAAACCCAGAAAGGAGACUUCUGGCAAGUGUCCCCCACCUCUCAGAACCCCAGUUUGUGUGUGUGUGUUUAUUUUGUUUUGUUUUGUUUUGUUUUUAAAUCCAUAGAUAGAGGGCACGCAUGACAUACAGAGUUGCUGAGGGCUCGAAACUGAGAUAAUCCCCGUGAAAGGCUCAGGCCGUGCCUGGCACUCGGUUAAGUGUUCGAGGAUUGCAGAUGGCUCUUAUCGUGCCGCCCGGGCGGUGUUAUCUCCGCGCCUCCCCUCCCCCUGCGGCCGC